CAGCUCCCAGCGGCAAGUACACUAGGCUCUUAACUUCGCUUGUCCUCUCUGCAGGCCCUGCCGAAGCUCCCCCUGGUUUCCCGCAGCGAUCCCGCGCAGGGCUGAAGCAGUGCCUACUCAAUAAAACCAGUCAUCGUGCAAAGAAAUGCCACCUGACCCAAAGGCAAAGCCAGAGUGCAGCUUGGAGCAAAGAAGUUUGUGUUGAAGGAGAAACUAACAAUGAAAAUGGACUUGUUGACGGAAGAAAAGUAGGAAUGCAGCCUCUGGUGCUGUUUGAGUGAUCCCUCUGCCCCAGGCCUGGCUGCGCGCUGCUGUGUUCUGGAAAGGCGCAUUGUGCCCUCGCUGUGGCAGUUUCGCUCUUGUUGCCUAGGCUGGAGUACAAUGAUGUGAUCUUGGCUCACCACAACCUCUGCCUCCAAGGUUCAAGCAGUUCUCCUGCCUCAGCCUCCCAAGUAGCUGGGAUUACAGGCAUGUGCUACCACGCCCAGCUAAUUUGUGUAUUUUUAGUAGAGAUGGGAUUUCUCCAUGUUGGUCAGUCUGGUCUGGAACUCCCAACCUCAGGUGAUCCACCCACCUCGGCCUCCCAAAGUGCGGGAUUACAGACAUGAGCCACCGUGCCUGACCUGUAGUCUUUUUUCCAUUCCUUUAUUUGUUCAUUCAUAUUUGAGAGAGGUACUAAAAGACUGGGAGCCGAGGUGUGGUGGCUCACACCUAUAAUCUCAGUGCUUUGGGAGACCGAAGUGGGAGGAUCACUUGAGCCCAGGAGCUCAAGACUAGUUUGGGCAACAUAGUGAGACCCCAUCUUUACAAAAAAAAAAAAUAGCUAGGUGUGGUGACACCCAUCUGCAGUCCCAGCUACUUGGGAGGCUGAGGCAGGAGGAUUGCUUGAGCCCAGGAGGUUGAGGCUGCAGUGAGCUCUGAUCAUGCCACUGCAUUCCUGCAUUCCAACCUGGGCGAAAGAGCAAGACCCUGUCUCAAAAUAAAUAAAUAAAUAAAUAAAAA
RNAcentral lists this long non-coding RNA (1002 nucleotides) under Homo sapiens (human). RNAcentral's name for it is "novel transcript". Lineage: Eukaryota; Metazoa; Chordata; Mammalia; Primates; Hominidae. The record is from RNAcentral.